RNAcentral lists this ribosomal RNA (415 nucleotides) under uncultured bacterium. RNAcentral describes it as "partial 16S ribosomal RNA". It matches the Rfam family "Bacterial small subunit ribosomal RNA", at positions 355 to 762 of the family's 1533-position model. The record is from RNAcentral.
UGGGGAAUAUUGCACAAUGGGCGCAAGCCUGAUGCAGCCAUGCCGCGUGUAUGAAGAAGGCCUUCGGGUUGUAAAGUACUUUCAGCGAGGAGGAAGGUGUUGUGGUUAAUAACCGCAGCAAUUGACGUUACUCGCAGAAGAAGCACCGGCUAACUCCGUGCCAGCAGCCGCGGUAAUACGGAGGGUGCAAGCGUUAAUCGGAAUUACUGGGCGUAAAGCGCACGCAGGCGGUCUGUCAAGUCGGAUGUGGAAUCCCCGGGCUCAACCUGGGAACUGCAUCCGAAACUGGCAGGCUAGAGUCUUGUAGAGGGGGGUAGAAUUCCAGGUGUAGCGGUGAAAUGCGUAGAGAUCUGGAGGAAUACCGGUGGCGAAGGCGGCCCCCUGGACAAAGACUGACGCUCAGGUGCGAAAGCGU